AUGAGCAUCGACACAGACUUCCUCACGAGUGUUGAGGUAAAGGAGGAUGAGCUACAUGGAAAUGUGCUCAUUGCAGUAACUCAAAUUGCACUCGGAAGGACCAUCGGUGUGAUUGAUAAGGCUACACCGAAUGAUUCGAAUGCUCUUCUCAUCUUGAACCUGAUUAAGGAAGCUGAUGACGGAGAAGAUGCCAAUAUUUGUAUGAGGCAGGAGGAUAGAAAGACUUUUCUACAAACCAGUAAGAUUAUCAAUAUUGGAGAGCGUCUUCUUCUACAAAGACUGUCCGAAGAGGAGUGUGAUGAGGAGGAUCAGGAUGAUCUUGAGAAUUUAAUUUUGUUAAAAGAUGAAGAUCGGUGAGUAUGACCCUUGAAAGAAACAAGAAAAAGAGCAUGCUAAAAAGGCCGGACAGUACUCAAAGCUGCACAAAGAGCAGCAGUGAAGACAGCAAUCUAAACGGUUUCGAGGAGUAUAUUCGAGAACACGGCGAACUUGUACCUGGUCAAACGCCUCCCGACGGAUCACACAAGUGUGGAGUUUGUCCAAAGAGUUUUUCAAGUGCAAGCGGUCUCAAACAACACUCUCAUAUUCAUUGCUCCUUAAAGCCGUUUCGGUGUCAUUUGUGUCCAAAGUCCUACACACAAUUCUCAAAUCUGUGCAGGCACCGGAGAGUUCAUUCAGACGGUUGGACGUGCCCAACGUGUCAAAGUCAGAUGCCAUCACAAGCGGCACUAACGAAGCAUCGACCAGUUUGCGAGAUGACUGCACUCUACAAACCAUUGAUGGCGCAACUUGCCGGAUUGAGCGGAGCAGGUGGAUUAGGUUCCGUGCCAUAUUGGCCACAUAUACUUCAAAUGGCAACACAGGCACCACAUUUCCCGCUUGCUUUUCUUGCCGCCAAUCCAGAAGCGUACAAACUGAUGCAGCAGACGACGUGUGCAUCUCCAGAUGCCGAGUGUUCCAGUGGACAUGCCAGUGAAUCUUCACCAACUACAACUGAACCAGUCGACCUAACAGCUACACCAAAACCUCCUUCGACGUCUGAAAUGGAAACUACAUCAAAGUCCGACGAUGGAGAGGAUCGUGACAGCAUCGGAGACUCUGGGAAUGAUGAUGAUGAUGACUCAGAAGCUGGAGUUCUAGAUGAGUCGUCCACAACAACGUCAACGAAAAAGCGUCCGACAUCUCACACAAUUUCCGACAUACUCGCUGCUCCACAACUCGGUGCUCAGGCUUUGAAUUCGACGUUCCUUGGCAUGCUUCAGCGCUCGCUUAAUUAUAAUCCAGCAGUUCCAUCGCCUCACUCAUUUCUAAGAGCAAUGAGCGGAGCAAAAGCAUCAUCAUCACCAAGCUCGAGCAGUGGAAGUGGAAAGGAUAGGUACACGUGCAAGUUCUGUCAGAAAGUGUUCCCAAGAUCAGCGAAUUUGACAAGACAUUUAAGGACACAUACAGGAGAGCAGCCUUAUAAGUGUCAAUAUUGCGAGCGAAGCUUCUCAAUCUCCUCCAAUUUGCAACGCCACGUUAGAAACAUUCAUAAUAAGGUAAGCCAUCUCUAACAGUUUCCCAUUGCUACAGUAACCCCCCGCAACUUCCCCAUGUACUUUCUCCAACUCUCUCUAGUCCCCCAUUCUUUCCAUCUGUUCGUGUUUGUAGCCGAACACCUCGCUGACACCCCACAAUCAUCAUCGUCAACGAAGUCUGCACAAUUCAACCUCAACCUCCACUACUACUACUACCGUCCAUCAUCCUCUUCUUCAUCUUCCAGGAACGUCCGUUCCGGUGCCAAAAGUGUGA
This 1791-nucleotide unclassified non-coding RNA is filed under the name Caenorhabditis elegans. RNAcentral's name for it is "Non-coding transcript of protein-coding gene egl-43". Lineage: Eukaryota; Metazoa; Nematoda; Chromadorea; Rhabditida; Rhabditidae. The record is from RNAcentral.